Molecule: ribosomal RNA, 501 nt
Filed under: uncultured bacterium
Lineage: Bacteria
Description: SSU rRNA
Rfam family: Bacterial small subunit ribosomal RNA
Source: RNAcentral
AGAUUGAACGCUGGCGGCGUGCCUAACACAUGCAAGUCGAGCGGUAACAGGUGUAGCAAUACAUGCUGACGAGCGGCGAACGGGUGAGUAAUGCUUUGGAAUCUUCCCAGUAGUGGGGAAUAACCAGUCGAAAGAUUGGCUAAUACCGCAUACGUCUGUAAAGGGAAAGCGGGGGCUCGUAAGACCUCGCGCUAUUGGAUGAGCCAAAGUCGGAUUAGCUAGUUGGUGGGUAAUGGCCUACCAAGGCGACAAUCCGUAGCUGGUCUGAGAGGACGACCAGCCACACCGGAACUGAGACACGGUCCGGACUCCUACGGGAGGCAGCAGUGGGGAAUAUUGGACAAUGGGGGAAACCCUGAUCCAGCGACGCCGCGUGUGUGAAGAAGGCCUGCGGGUUGUAAAGCACUUUUAGUGGGGACAAAAAGCUACGGAUUAAUACUCUGUGGUCUUGAUUUAACCCAAAGAAAAGCACCGGCUAACUCUAGUGCCAGCAGCCGCGGU